This 44-nucleotide small nuclear RNA is filed under the name Globisporangium irregulare DAOM BR486. RNAcentral describes it as "snRNA EPrPIrr00000013122". It matches the Rfam family "U5 spliceosomal RNA", at positions 17 to 60 of the family's 117-position model. Rfam says of the family: U5 RNA is a component of both types of known spliceosome. The precise function of this molecule is unknown, though it is known that the 5' loop is required for splice site selection and p220 binding, and that both the 3' stem-loop and the Sm site are important for Sm protein binding and cap methylation. Lineage: Eukaryota; Oomycota; Peronosporomycetes; Pythiales; Pythiaceae. The record is from RNAcentral.
UCAUCUCGAAUUAAUCUUUCGCCUUUUACUAAAGAUUACCGUGG